RNAcentral lists this long non-coding RNA (613 nucleotides) under Trifolium pratense (red clover). Its description in RNAcentral is "long non-coding RNA (TPRA_LNC010216)". The record is from RNAcentral. Lineage: Eukaryota; Viridiplantae; Streptophyta; Magnoliopsida; Fabales; Fabaceae.
UUUUUUUUUUAAACAACUUAAUUAAGCACUUAUAGCAUAAAUAAGUGCUUAUUUAUAAACAAUAAUAAAACAAGUCAAUUUGCCCCAAACCACUACAUAAAUCAAAUCAUCAAAACGUAUUAAUCAUUAAGAAACUCCAAUUCAAAAAUUUUCUAAGCAAUGACAAAAUGGUUGAGUAGAGUUGGUGUUGACCGCUCUUACGCGGUGGAGUUGUUCAAAACUAGUAAUGGCUGUGAAGUUUUGAAAAGUCGGUAGUGACAUCUCUGCAAAACUCCAAAAAGAGAAAAGUUAGAAUAGAACAAAUUAUUUACACUCAAGAUAGUAUAUAGUCUAAAAAAUGUCCUCUGCUGAGCCUGCACUCAAGAUACAUGUAAACUAUCAAAUUGAAGAACAUAUAAUUUACACUGUAUAUAAAUUAUCAGCCCCAUGAACAUAAACAUAAGAAUACCUUGGAUAUGACAUCCAAAUUCAUCAUUACCGAAACAAAAAUAGUAGUUAAUUAAUGCCAGCAUGAAAACUAAGAAUAGAACAAAUUAUAUAAAUGGAGUGCAAUGAAUUAGAAACCAAAGAUGUUACAUGUAAGCAUAUGAAUAUUUCAAACCAAAAGAAGAUA